AGUCUACGGGAGGCAGCAGUGAGGAAUAUUGGUCAAUGGGCGAGAGCCUGAACCAGCCAAGUCGCGUGAAGGAAGACAGUCCUAAGGAUUGUAAACUUCUUUUAUACGGGAAUAACGGGCGAUACGAGUAUUGCAUUGAAUGUACCGUAAGAAUAAGCAUCGGCUAACUCCGUGCCAGCAGCCGCGGUAAUGACU
This 195-nucleotide ribosomal RNA is filed under the name uncultured bacterium. RNAcentral's name for it is "partial 16S ribosomal RNA". It matches the Rfam family "Bacterial small subunit ribosomal RNA", at positions 335 to 527 of the family's 1533-position model. The record is from RNAcentral.